This 1618-nucleotide long non-coding RNA is filed under the name Salmo salar (Atlantic salmon). RNAcentral describes it as "lncRNA (ENSSSAG00000119568.1)". Lineage: Eukaryota; Metazoa; Chordata; Actinopteri; Salmoniformes; Salmonidae. The record is from RNAcentral.
GACAGACUCUCUGGGUUCAGGUAACAGGGGAACAGGGGAAGCCACUGGGGGAUUUUCACCCCUUCAAAGAUGUGAUCCACCAAACUGUUGCCAAGGGAGACAUGGAAUGGGCAAAGGGCAUGGAAACCCUUUAAUGUCUGUCAGUCUUUACUAGAGAGGUGGAUGUUGUGUUGCCAUGGUAUCAUCAUGUUGAAGAUAGAUACACAUUCCACUUCCCAGAAUACCAUGUCCUUUUCAGAGUGAACACCUCCAUCUUCCUCUCUUACCUUCAACCUAGAGACCGGCUGUUCUCCUGAGUUGAAGCUGACUGUUCUCUGUUCUCCUGAGUUGAGACUGACUGUUCUCCUGGGCUGAGGCUGGCUGUUCUCCUGGGUUGAGGCUGGCUGUUCUCCUGGGCUGAGGCUGGCUGUUCUCCUGGGUUGAGGCUGGCUGUUCUCCUGGGUUGAGGCUGGCUGUUCUCUGUUCUCCUGGGUUGAGGCUGGCUGCUCUCCUGGGUUGAGGCUGGCUGCUCUCCUGGGUUGAGGCUGGCUGUUCUCCUGGGCUGUGGCUGGCUGUUCUCUGUUCUCCUGGGUUGAGACUGGCUGCUCUCCUGGGCUAAGCCUGGCUGUUCUCCUGGGUUGAGGCUGGCUGUUCUCCUGGGUUGAGGCUGGCUGUUCUCUGUUCUCCUGGGUUGAGGCUGGCUGUUCUCCUGGGUUGAGGCUGGCUGUUCUCCUGAGUUGAGACUGGCGGUUCUCUGUUCUCCUGAGUUGAGACUGGCUGUUCUCUGUUCUCCUGAGUUGAAGCUGACUGUUCUCUGUUCUCCUGAGUUGAGGCUGACUGUUCUCCUGGGCUGAGGCUGGCUGUUCUCCUGGGUUGAGACUGGCUGUUCUCUGUUCUCCUGGGUUGAGGCUGGCUGUUCUCUGUUCUCCUGAGUUGAAGCUGACUGUUCUCUGUUCUCCUGAGUUGAGGCUGACUGCUCUCCUGGGUUGAGGCUGGCUGUUCUCCUGGGCUGAGACUGGCUGUUCUCUGUUCUCCUGGGUUGAGGCUGGCUGCUCUCCUGGGCUGAGCCUGGCUGUUCUCCUGGGUUGAGGCUGGCUGUUCUCCUGGGUUGAGGCUGGCUGUUUUCUGUUCUCCUGAGUUGAAGCUGACUGUUCUCCUGGGCUGAGGCUGGCUGUUCUCCUGGGCUGAGGCUGGCUGUUCUCCUGAGUUGAGACUGACUGUUCUCUGUUCUCCUGAGUUGAGAAUGACUGUUCUCCUGGGCUGAGGCUGGCUGUUCUCCUGGGCUGAGGCUGGCUGUUCUCCUGGGCUGAGGCUGGCUGUUCUCCUGGGUUGAGGCUGACUGUUCUCCUGGGCUGAGGCUGGCUGUUCUCCUGGGCUGAGGCUGGCUGUUCUCCUGGGUUGAGGCUGGCUGUUCUCCUGGGCUGAGGCUGGCUGUUCUCCUGGGUUGAGGCUGACUGUUCUCCUGGGCUGAGGCUGACUGUUCUCCUGGGUUGAGGCUGGCUGUUCUCCUGGGUUGAGGCUGGCUGUUCUCCUGGGCUGAGGCUGACUGUUCUCCUGGGCUGAGGCUGACUGUUCUCCUGGGCUGAGGCUGACUGUUCUCCUGGGCUGAGGCUGACUGUUCUCCUGGGCUGAGGCUGAC